UACGAAGGGUGCAAGCGUUAAUCGGAAUUACUGGGCGUAAAGCGCGCGUAGGUGGUUCAGUAAGUUGGAAGUGAAAUCCCCGGGCUCAACCUGGGAACUGCAUCCAAAACUGCUGAGCUAGAGUACGGUAGAGGGUGGUGGAAUUUCCUGUGUAGCGGUGAAAUGCGUAGAUAUAGGAAGGAACACCAGUGGCGAAGGCGACCACCUGGACUGAUACUGACACUGAGGUGCGAAAGCGUGGGGAGCAAACAAG
This 253-nucleotide ribosomal RNA is filed under the name uncultured bacterium. Its description in RNAcentral is "partial 16S ribosomal RNA". It matches the Rfam family "Bacterial small subunit ribosomal RNA", at positions 524 to 776 of the family's 1533-position model. The record is from RNAcentral.